Molecule: ribosomal RNA, 253 nt
Filed under: uncultured bacterium
Lineage: Bacteria
Description: partial 16S ribosomal RNA
Rfam family: Bacterial small subunit ribosomal RNA
Source: RNAcentral
UACGGAGGAUCCAAGCGUUAUCCGGAAUCAUUGGGUUUAAAGGGUCCGUAGGCGGGACAAUAAGUCAGUGGUGAAAGUUUUUGGCUUAACCAAAAAAUUGCCAUUGAUACUGUUGUUCUUGAAUUAUUGUGAAGUAACUAGAAUAUGUAGUGUAGCGGUGAAAUGCAUAGAUAUUACAUGGAAUACCAAUUGCGAAGGCAGGUUACUAACAAUAUAUUGACGCUGAUGGACGAAAGCGUGGGUAGCGAACAGG